AGACUAAGGUCAUGAAUGGUGAC
This 23-nucleotide non-coding RNA is filed under the name Arabidopsis thaliana (thale cress). The record is from RNAcentral. Lineage: Eukaryota; Viridiplantae; Streptophyta; Magnoliopsida; Brassicales; Brassicaceae.